Molecule: transfer RNA, 65 nt
Filed under: Enithares tibialis
Lineage: Eukaryota; Metazoa; Arthropoda; Insecta; Hemiptera; Notonectidae
Description: tRNA-Thr
Source: RNAcentral
GUUUUAAUAGUUUAAAAAAAAUUAUGAUCUUGUAAAUCAUAGAUAGGAAUAAAACCUUUAAAACU